GUUACAAUCACUUGAUUCUCUCGGGCAUUUGGAGAUCACUGUGCAAGAGAUGCAAGUUUCAAAGAAGGAUCCUUCGCUCGUUGAGGCUGAGAAUGUACUCUCUGAAUGUUUUUCUGCUUAUCAAAAGUUCAAAGGUUCAACUUUCGACACUCCUGAAGUCAAGGCCGAGUACUGUACAUGUUUGAAGCGUCUCUCAAGCCUGUUUAGCGAUGGCGAAACGAGUAAGCAAAUGAGAAGAGUCAG
RNAcentral lists this unclassified non-coding RNA (243 nucleotides) under Hevea brasiliensis (rubber tree). The record is from RNAcentral. Lineage: Eukaryota; Viridiplantae; Streptophyta; Magnoliopsida; Malpighiales; Euphorbiaceae.